GAGUUUGAUCGUGGCUCAGAUUGAACGCUGGCGGCAGGCCUAACACAUGCAAGUCGAGCGGAUGACGGGAGCUUGCUCCUUGAUUCAGCGGCGGACGGGUGAGUAAUGCCUAGGAAUCUGCCUGGUAGUGGGGGACAACGUUUCGAAAGGAACGCUAAUACCGCAUACGUCCUACGGGAGAAAGCAGGGGACCUUCGGGCCUUGCGCUAUCAGAUGAGCCUAGGUCGGAUUAGCUAGUUGGUGGGGUAAUGGCUCACCAAGGCGACGAUCCGUAACUGGUCUGAGAGGAUGAUCAGUCACACUGGAACUGAGACACGGUCCAGACUCCUACGGGAGGCAGCAGUGGGGAAUAUUGGACAAUGGGCGAAAGCCUGAUCCAGCCAUGCCGCGUGUGUGAAGAAGGUCUUCGGAUUGUAAAGCACUUUAAGUUGGGAGGAAGGGCAGUAAGUUAAUACCUUGCUGUUUUGACGUUACCGACAGAAUAAGCACCGGCUAACUCUGUGCCAGCAG
This 510-nucleotide ribosomal RNA is filed under the name bacterium enrichment culture clone ALO1_GLFRUDD03F4XCF. RNAcentral describes it as "bacterial SSU rRNA". It matches the Rfam family "Bacterial small subunit ribosomal RNA", at positions 9 to 514 of the family's 1533-position model. The record is from RNAcentral. RNAcentral also lists the same sequence under 5 other names.